Molecule: non-coding RNA, 958 nt
Filed under: Halaelurus buergeri (blackspotted catshark)
Lineage: Eukaryota; Metazoa; Chordata; Chondrichthyes; Carcharhiniformes; Scyliorhinidae
Description: 12S ribosomal RNA
Rfam family: Bacterial small subunit ribosomal RNA
Source: RNAcentral
CAAAGGUUUGGUCCUGACCUUAGUAUUAAUUUUAACUACAAUUAUACAUGCAAGUUUCAGCACCCCUGUGAGAAUGCCCUAACUACUCUGUUAAGUAACUAGGAGCAGGUAUCAGGCACACACACGUUGCCCAAAACACCUUGCUAAGCCACACCCUCAAGGGACCUCAGCAGUAAUAAAUAUUGAUCGAAUAAGCGCAAGCUUGAAUCAGUUAAAGUUUAAAGAGUUGGUAAAUCUCGUGCCAGCCACCGCGGUUAUACGAGUAACUCACAUUAAUACACUUACGGCGUAAAGUGUGGUUUAAGAUUUUAAUUUUUUUAAAAAUUAAAAUUGAAAUCCCAUCAGGCUGUUAUACGCAUCUAUGGGUCGAAAAAAUAACAACGAAAGUGAUUUUAUUUCAAAAAAAUAUCUUGAUGCCACGAUAGUUAAAUCCCAAACUAGGAUUAGAUACCCUACUAUGUUUAACCACAAACUUAGACAAUAUUUCUACCUCAUUGUCCGCCAGAGUAUUACAAGCGCUAGCUUAAAACCCAAAGGACUUGGCGGUAUCCCACACCCACCUAGAGGAGCCUGUUCUAUAAUCGAUAAUCCCCGCUAAACCUCACCACUUCUUGCCACCUCCGUCUAUAUACCGCCGUCGUCAGCUCACCCUGUGAAAGUUAAAAAGUAAGCAAAAAGAAUUAAAUUCCAAACGUCAGGUCAAGGUGUAGCGAAUGAAGUGGGAAGAAAUGGGCUACAUUUUUUCACAAAAAGAUACGAAUGGCAAUCUGAAAACUUCCCUAAAGGUGGAUUUAGUAGUAAGAAAAGAUAAGAAUACUUUCCUGAAAUUGGCUCUGGGAUGCGCACACACCGCCCGUCACUCUCCUCAAUAAAAAUUUCCAUUUUAUAUAAAAUAUUCUUUAUAAAUAGAGGAGGCAAGUCGUAACAUGGUAAGUGUACUGGAAAGUGCACUUGGAAU